AGCUGGAAUCGCUAGUAAUCGCGAAUCAGCAUGUCGCGGUGAAUACGUUCCCGGGUCUUGUACACACCGCCCGUCACACCAUGGGAGUUGGUAACGCCCGAAGCCAGUGACCCAACCGGAAACGGAGGGAGCUGUCGAAGGUGGGACCGAUAACUGGGGUGAAGUCGUAACAAGGUAGC
RNAcentral lists this ribosomal RNA (179 nucleotides) under uncultured bacterium. Its description in RNAcentral is "partial 16S ribosomal RNA". It matches the Rfam family "Bacterial small subunit ribosomal RNA", at positions 1324 to 1500 of the family's 1533-position model. The record is from RNAcentral.